UUUGAAAUCAAGUUUGCCCUUAAGGUAUCCGGUUAUAAGAUCACCGUUCGCGUGCAUUCUUAGACCGUUCAAGCUGGAAUACGACACCAUGACUGUUGAUACACCCUUGAUUAUAGAGUCAUAGUAAGGGGGCAUGUGGAUGCUUAGCAAAUCGUGUUCAUUGACCACAGUGUUGUUUUCAUCUAUUCCGUGAGUUGUCCCACCAUCCGCAACAAAGUGCUUUGCACAAGCAGCUACCUUGUCCCUAACAUGUGCGGAUGCAAAGCAAUCGACAUAUGGAACACCCAGCCGUGAUCCCUCGGGAAUUUCGCCUUGCAAUCCUAAUAUAAUCUCAGUCAUACUUUCAACAAGUUUGGUAUCCUCACCGUAACUCUCAUAACAUCGUCCCCAUCUUGGAUCU
Molecule: long non-coding RNA, 400 nt
Filed under: Helianthus annuus (common sunflower)
Lineage: Eukaryota; Viridiplantae; Streptophyta; Magnoliopsida; Asterales; Asteraceae
Description: hypothetical non coding rna
Source: RNAcentral